RNAcentral lists this long non-coding RNA (225 nucleotides) under Rhinopithecus roxellana (golden snub-nosed monkey). RNAcentral describes it as "lncRNA (ENSRROG00000045833.1)". The record is from RNAcentral. Lineage: Eukaryota; Metazoa; Chordata; Mammalia; Primates; Cercopithecidae.
CUGCAGAAAGCCAGUCUUACAUGACCCUGUACAACCUCCUGGACUUUCCCGCGGGCGUGGUGCCUGUCAGGACGAGGGGGAACUGGCCUUCUACAAGGGGUACUACGGAGAUAGUUCUGACAAAAAUUUCUUGGAGGUGUACCCACCCCAAUGUGUGCCACCCUGAGGAGCCCCUGGCAGGAUCAAGACUCAGGGUCCUCACUGUGGGCCUCUGCAGCUUGUGGA